UACGGAGGGUGCAAGCGUUAUCCGGAUUCACUGGGUUUAAAGGGUGCGUAGGCGGGCAGGUAAGUCCGUGGUGAAAUCUCUGAGCUUAACUCAGAAACUGCCAUGGAUACUAUUUGUCUUGAAUAUUGUGGAGGUAAGCGGAAUAUGUCAUGUAGCGGUGAAAUGCUUAGAUAUGACAUAGAACACCAAUUGCGAAGGCAGCUUACUACACAGUAAUUGACGCUGAGGCACGAAAGCGUGGGGAUCAAACAGG
RNAcentral lists this ribosomal RNA (253 nucleotides) under uncultured bacterium. RNAcentral describes it as "partial 16S ribosomal RNA". It matches the Rfam family "Bacterial small subunit ribosomal RNA", at positions 524 to 776 of the family's 1533-position model. RNAcentral also lists the same sequence under 1 other name. The record is from RNAcentral.